RNAcentral lists this ribosomal RNA (772 nucleotides) under uncultured bacterium. RNAcentral's name for it is "bacterial SSU rRNA". It matches the Rfam family "Bacterial small subunit ribosomal RNA", at positions 8 to 796 of the family's 1533-position model. The record is from RNAcentral.
AGAGUUUGAUCAUGGCUCAGGACGAACGCUGGCGGCGCGCUUAACACAUGCAAGUCGAACGUGAAGCUGGAGCUUGCUCCGGUGGAAAGUGGCGAACGGGUGCGUAACACGUGAGCAACCUGCCCCGAAGACUGGGAUAACACCGGGAAACCGGUGCUAAUACCGGAUACCUUCCUCCGAUCGCAUGGUUGGAUGAAGAAAUGGAUUCCGCUUCGGGAUGGGCUCGCGGCCUAUCAGCUUGUUGGUGAGGUAACGGCCCACCAAGGCGACGACGGGUAGCUGGUCUGAGAGGACGACCAGCCACACUGGGACUGAGACACGGCCCAGACUCCUACGGGAGGCAGCAGUGGGGAAUCUUGCUCAAUGGGCGAAAGCCUGAAGCAGCGACGCCGCGUGCGGGAUGAAGGCCCUCGGGUUGUAAACCGCUUUCAGCAGGGACGAAAUUGACGGUACCUGCAGAAGAAGGCCCGGCCAACUACGUGCCAGCAGCCGCGGUAAUACGUAGGGGCCUAGCGUUGUCCGGAUUUAUUGGGCGUAAAGAGCUCGUAGGCGGUUUGGUGAGUCGGGUGUGAAAUCUCCACGCUCAACGUGGAGGGGCCACCCGAUACUGCCAUGACUAGAGUCCGGUAGGGGAGUGUGGAAUUCCCGGUGUAGCGGUGAAAUGCGCAGAUAUCGGGAGGAACACCAGUAGCGAAGGCGACACUCUGGGCCGGUACUGACGCUGAGGAGCGAAAGCGUGGGGAGCAAACAGGAUUAGAUACCCCGGUAGUCC